This 301-nucleotide ribosomal RNA is filed under the name uncultured bacterium. Its description in RNAcentral is "partial 16S ribosomal RNA". It matches the Rfam family "Bacterial small subunit ribosomal RNA", at positions 509 to 807 of the family's 1533-position model. The record is from RNAcentral.
CAGCAGCCGCGGGAAUACGAGGGGAGCUAGCGUUGUUCGGAAUUACUGGGCGUAAAGCGCGCGUAGGCGGCUUUUUAAGUCAGAGGUGAAAGCCCGGGGCUCAACCCCGGAAUUGCCUUUGAAACUGGAAAGCUAGAAUCUUGGAGAGGUCAGCGGAAUUCCGAGUGUAGAGGUGAAAUUCGUAGAUAUUCGGAAGAACACCAGUGGCGAAGGCGACUGACUGGACAAGUAUUGACGCUGAGGUGCGAAAGCGUGGGGAGCAAACAGGAUUAGAUACCCGUGUAGUCCCUGUCUCUUAUAC